Molecule: ribosomal RNA, 253 nt
Filed under: uncultured bacterium
Lineage: Bacteria
Description: partial 16S ribosomal RNA
Rfam family: Bacterial small subunit ribosomal RNA
Source: RNAcentral
UACAGAGGGGGCGAGUGUUGUUCGGAAUUACUGGGCGUAAAGGGCGCGUAGGCGGCCUCUUAAGUCAGACGUGAAAUCCCCCGGCUCAACCGGGGAACUGCGUCUGAGACUGGGAGGCUCGAAUCCGGGAGAGGGAUGUGGAAUUCCAGGUGUAGCGGUGAAAUGCGUAGAUAUCUGGAGGAACACCGGUGGCGAAGGCGGCAUCCUGGACCGGCAUUGACGCUGAUGCGAGAAAGCCAGGGGAGCAAACGGG